This 451-nucleotide ribosomal RNA is filed under the name uncultured bacterium. Its description in RNAcentral is "bacterial SSU rRNA". It matches the Rfam family "Bacterial small subunit ribosomal RNA", at positions 15 to 507 of the family's 1533-position model. The record is from RNAcentral.
GAUCAUGGCUCAGAACGAACGCUGGCGGCAGGCUUAACACAUGCAAGUCGAACGCUCGUAGCAAUACGGGAGUGGCGGACGGGUGAGUAACGCGUGGGAACGUGCCCUGAGGUACGGAAUAACUGAGGGAAAACUUCAGCUAAUACCGUAUGAGCCCCGAGAGGGGGAAAGAUUUAUCGCCUUGGGAGCGGCCCGCGUCGGAUUAGCUAGUUGGUGGGGUAACGGGCCUACCAAGGCUUCGAUCCGUAGCCGGUCUGAGAGGACGAUCAGCCACACUGGGACUGAGACACGGCCCAGACUCCUACGGGAGGCAGCAGUGGGGAAUCUUGCGCAAUGGGGGCAACCCUGACGCAGCCAUGCCGCGUGAACGAUGAAGGCCUUAGGGUUGUAAAGUUCUUUUACCCGUGACGAUGAUGACGGUAACGGGGAAUAAGCUCCGGCUAACUUCGUG